AUGAGGUUCUGUUUUAGGAAAACCCAGCUUUUCUCAACUCUUGUCGUUCUGCUCAUUUUGUUUUCUUGUCUACAACUUGGAGAAAUGAGGCAUUUGAAAGCAGAGCAAUGGGCUAAGAACCAUGGUCUUGUUCUUGUGUCUCAGUACCUCGCAAGGGGUCAAGCGCCCCCAUCUGGCCCCAAUCCCUGCACCCACAUUCCAGGCCGCGGCUCGGGUAUUUGCACCUGA
This 228-nucleotide long non-coding RNA is filed under the name Prunus dulcis (almond). RNAcentral's name for it is "sRNA ncRNA". Lineage: Eukaryota; Viridiplantae; Streptophyta; Magnoliopsida; Rosales; Rosaceae. The record is from RNAcentral.